AAAAAAAUGUUUUUAUUUUCAAUUUGAAAAAAUGAUAUUGAAAAUUAGAAUCUUCUUUUUUUUUCGGCAGACUCUGCGGGGAGGAAACCGUAUGCUGCUUCAGCUUCUGUUUCGGCCAAAUACGAAAUCACGCCGGAUAACAGGUUUUGAGGAAUUGGAAUAUUGCAAUGAAUCCGUUGACGCUAGUGAAGCGUAUUCAAAAUAUUAAUGCAAAAGAAGCAUCUUUAGGGAUCUCCGAUCAGGCAUCCUGGCAUGCUAGAUACAAAGAUUCAGCUUAUGUAUUUGUUGGCGGAAUUCCUUUUGACCUCACUGAAGGUGAUCUCCUAGCUGUUUUCGCCCAGUAUGGGGAGGUUGUUGAUGUCAAUCUUGUUAGAGAUAAAGGUACUGGCA
This 390-nucleotide unclassified non-coding RNA is filed under the name Hevea brasiliensis (rubber tree). The record is from RNAcentral. Lineage: Eukaryota; Viridiplantae; Streptophyta; Magnoliopsida; Malpighiales; Euphorbiaceae.